This is a long non-coding RNA of Arabidopsis thaliana (thale cress), 242 nucleotides long. RefSeq annotates it as other RNA. Lineage: Eukaryota; Viridiplantae; Streptophyta; Magnoliopsida; Brassicales; Brassicaceae. The record is from RefSeq. The transcript has a single exon.
UCUCGUUCACUAGGGUUUGUGUUGUUUGAUCAAUCGCAUACCUAGGCCUCGUGUUGUAAUAUUACGACUGUAUCCCUCCUAGAUUUAGAGGUUUAUUAGAUCUUGUUUUGAUUCAUAAUUCAUGUGGAUGGUUUUCACUUUCAGGCCAAAUCAUCAUAAAUCAUAAUCAAUGGGGUUCAAAUUUGCUCCACAUGAUGAGUCGUCUAUGAAUGUUUCUCACAAGUCUGUUGCUGUUUCGGCUC